RNAcentral lists this long non-coding RNA (2105 nucleotides) under Capra hircus (goat). RNAcentral describes it as "lncRNA (ENSCHIG00010029110.1)". Lineage: Eukaryota; Metazoa; Chordata; Mammalia; Artiodactyla; Bovidae. The record is from RNAcentral.
CUAUCCCCUCACUCAUCCACCACUUACCCACCCACCCACCCAUCCAUUACCAUCCACUUAUUCAUCCACCCAUCUAACCAUUGACUGACCCACCCAUCCAUCACCCGUCCAUCCUUCUAUCCACCCAUCCACUCACUCAUCCGUCCACCCACUCAUCGCUUUCCGUGCCUACACAUCCAGACACCCAUGCAAAGAAGACAAAAAAGGUCCAAGGGAAGAAGCCAAGCCACUGUCCAGUCAUUUUAUUUGUCCACGCUGUGACCCAGGCCCAGCGCCAACACUGGGGGGUCUGACACCGCCUAUAGACACCGAGGGGCUCCCAGUGUGUGGGGCCAGGGGACUCAGAAGUAUCUGAGUUUCAUCAGUGUCUGUGGGCACAGAGUUCAGAGGUGCCAUCUCUUCUUGGUGGCGCAACACAAUCGCCAAAGAUCCCAGCAACCUGCAUCACACCACAAGCUCUCACCCGCAAGCAGAUACCCCCGGGGACCAGAAGGUCAACAGGCACACAGCACCCUGAAUCUCCCAGGCACGUGGAGAGAGAGACACAGAAAGCCAUGUACAUGCGGGAGCACACAAGACGUAUACGUCGGCACCCGGAAGGUGCUCGGGGGGCGGUCACACGACAGUGCUGAGCAUCCCUAGUGUGUGUGUGUGUCUCUCUCUCACACACACACACAGGGAAAUGCAAACAGACACGCAUUAGAACACCCACAGCCUCCNNNNNNNNNNNNNNNNNNNNNNNNNNNNNNNNNNNNNNNNNNNNNNNNNNNNNNNNNNNNNNNNNNNNNNNNNNNNNNNNNNNNNNNNNNNNNNNNNNNACACACAGGGAAAUGCAAACAGACACGCAUUAGAACACCCACAGCCUCCUGGAGGAGAGACUUCCAGGUUGAGAGGCACUGGAUGUCGGCGGACCCAGGGCAGAGGCCUCAUCCACACCUUUCUGCACCCUGGGACUAUGCCACCCAGGAAGCGCUGCUGCUCGGGGGAGCCCCUUGCCCGGCUCUGCUGCCCCGUAACUGAGGACGCCCAGCAGUGGCAGGGCAUCCUGAGGAGGAGCGGGCUCCCUUGGCUGACUUCUGCCAGGCAGUUAUCACAUGUCCCUGUGACAGUCACAUGGGGCCCAGGACACAAGCCUGUGCUCCACACGGCUCCACUCGAGGCCACCACUCGGGGGCCCUGCUCAACAGGCCAGGGCCAGGGACCUGCCUCCUUCUCGGGGAAACUGAUGAUAGCACAGCCCAGGCGUCUGGGGCCGCUCCUGCCCACUUGGCCAACAGGGCUGGAGAACCCAGCCAUGCAAGUCAGGGUCUCCGUGGGGUCAGGCCCGGCUCCUCCUUACCCCAAAGGGAGUACCGGGAUUAAGAAGCAGCACAGGCCGUGGAAUGAUACAGGCAGACUCAAUAUAAAUAAAAUAUUCAUAUAAAAAUAGUCUCUUAGAAAAUAUUCUCUUAUCCAGUGGCUCACUUUCUAGAAGGUGGGAACUGCUGGGGGGGUUAGCAUUACCUUUCCCCUCUCUCUCUCUGUUCCAAACUGGACUUUUCUAAUGGGGAGGUUUGAGCUGGGGAGGACUACAGGCUGGGAACCGUGUUCUAGAAAACGUCUCCCAAUUCCAGACCAGCUUAAAUCUCUGGAGAAUUAGCAGCAAACAGCAAAAAAAAAAAAAUAUGUGUAUGUGUGUGUGUCUAUAUACGUAGAAAGGAUGUCUGCCCUUGCACUUGAGCAUCUGGUGCGGCAAGGGGUCCUCGCGAAAUCAGCUAGGAGAAAGGUCUGCCUGAAGAAUCACCACGCACAGUUCUCCGCUCCCUGUCCUGGCGGCAGAACAUCCCACAGGGAGAGCCAGCGGUCCACGUUGAUUGCAGAAAACGGAUCCCGACGAGGUGGAAGGGUUCUUGUUUAAUUAAAUAAAUUAAUAUUAUCUUUUUAAUAUCAGAAUAAAUUGUUAAAUAUUGCUAUUACUGUUGAGGCCCCCGGGGUCCAGUGUUUCAGGCUCUGCUCCGGCCGAGGGCGGCGUCUGGGUGCGGCGUGGAUGACGACUCGGGGUCCGGGAGGGGUCCCCCCCCCACCGGCAGGGCCCCCACCUCCACCAGCCCAGCAGACAAGACAGC